RNAcentral lists this ribosomal RNA (497 nucleotides) under uncultured bacterium. Its description in RNAcentral is "partial 16S ribosomal RNA". It matches the Rfam family "Bacterial small subunit ribosomal RNA", at positions 28 to 507 of the family's 1533-position model. The record is from RNAcentral.
GAUGAACGCUGGCGGCGUGCCUAAUACAUGCAAGUCGAGCGAACGGACGAGAAGCUUGCUUCUCUGAUGUUAGCGGCGGACGGGUGAGUAACACGUGGAUAACCUACCUAUAAGACUGGGAUAACUUCGGGAAACCGGAGCUAAUACCGGAUGAUAUUUUGAACCGCAUGGUUCAAAAGUGAAAGACGGUCUUGCUGUCACUUAUAGAUGGAUCCGCGCUGCAUUAGCUAGUUGGUAAGGUAACGGCUUACCAAGGCAACGAUGCAUAGCCGACCUGAGAGGGUGAUCGGCCACACUGGAACUGAGACACGGUCCAUACUCCUACGGGAGGCAGCAGUAGGGAAUCUUCCGCAGUAGGCGAAAGCCUGACGGAACAACGCCGCGUGAGUGAUGAAGGUCUUCGGAUCGUAAAACUCUGUUAUUAGGGAAGAACAUAUGUGUAAGUAACUGUGCACAUCUUGACGGUACCUAAUCAGAAAGCCACGGCUAACUACGUG